Molecule: long non-coding RNA, 721 nt
Filed under: Homo sapiens (human)
Lineage: Eukaryota; Metazoa; Chordata; Mammalia; Primates; Hominidae
Description: non-protein coding TEX41:64
Source: RNAcentral
CACUCAGCUUUCUGAAAUGGUGUCCCACCGCAAGGACUGGAGAAGGGUAAACCUCAGGUUCUCCUCCUGCCUUUUGCUAAGUAUAUGUCUUGAUGACAAGCCUUCUGCUGAUGAGCUGUGUUUCUGGACCGAUCAUGGUAGAAGUCAAUUAACGUGUCCCUCACUUGGGGUUUCUCAAGGGAGUCUCACUCUGUCGUCCAGGCUGGAGUGCAGUGGCACAAUCUCGGCUCACUGCAAGCUCUGCCUCCCAGGUUCACGCCAUUCUCCUGCCUCAGUCUCCCAACUGCACUGAUGAGGAAACUGAAACAGAAAAUCCAGAGUAAAUUCCACCAGGCCACACAGCAAGGUCUGAUAGAGCCAGGAGAGACUUUAUGAAAUCCAGACUCUCACACUAAUGCUCUAUCAGCUAGACCUCCAUGUGAGUCUCCCCAAUGUAGGUAGGAAGUGCUUUCCCUAAAAUGCUCAUAAAGCAAAUCAGAGCAAUGCUGCAUUCCAUGUGAUUUCUAAUUUGAAAUGCAAACAAUUGCCAAUUUGUUUGACUUGUAUUUAUAAUUAUUUCCUUGUGAAUUACUCAUCACUAAAUGCUUUAUAAAUAUUUUCUCUUUUUUUCCUCAAUGUCUAUGGAAUGAUCACAGCAUAGAAAAUGUUGGCUUUCAAGGAUUUAUUAAUAUCUCCUUUUGAAAUAACAUGUAUUUGUAAGACAGAAUAAAAUCACUUUAAA